RNAcentral lists this ribosomal RNA (782 nucleotides) under uncultured bacterium. RNAcentral's name for it is "bacterial SSU rRNA". It matches the Rfam family "Bacterial small subunit ribosomal RNA", at positions 8 to 773 of the family's 1533-position model. The record is from RNAcentral.
AGAGUUUGAUCCUGGCUCAGGACGAACGCUGGCGGCGUGCCUAAUACAUGCAAGUAGAACGCUGAAGACUGGUGCUUGCACUAGUCAGAUGAGUUGCGAACGGGUGAGUAACGCGUAGGUAACCUACCUCAUAGCGGGGGAUAACUAUUGGAAACGAUAGCUAAUACCGCAUGACAAUUAAGUACUCAUGUACUAAAUUUAAAAGGAGCAAUUGCUUCACUAUGAGAUGGACCUGCGUUGUAUUAGCUAGUUGGUGAGGUAACGGCUCACCAAGGCCACGAUACAUAGCCGACCUGAGAGGGUGAUCGGCCACACUGGGACUGAGACACGGCCCAGACUCCUACGGGAGGCAGCAGUAGGGAAUCUUCGGCAAUGGGGGCAACCCUGACCGAGCAACGCCGCGUGAGUGAAGAAGGUUUUCGGAUCGUAAAGCUCUGUUGUUAGAGAAGAACGGUAAUGGGAGUGGAAAAUCCAUUACGUGACGGUAACUAACCAGAAAGGGACGGCUAACUACGUGCCAGCAGCCGCGGUAAUACGUAGGUCUCGAGCGUUGUCCGGAUUUAUUGGGCGUAAAGCGAGCGCAGGCGGUUAUUUAAGUCUGAAGUUAAAGGCCGUGGCUCAACCAUGGUUCGCUUUGGAAACUGGAUAACUUGAGUGCAGAAGGGGAGAGUGGAAUUCCAUGUGUAGCGGUGAAAUGCGUAGAUAUAUGGAGGAACACCGGUGGCGAAAGCGGCUCUCUGGUCUGUAACUGACGCUGAGGCUCGAAAGCAUGGGGAGCAAAC